UUCGAUGUGGAGUAUCCUUGCGAUAUUCAUGACUUUGUAAUUGUAACACCCCAAACCUGGCUUAUACGUUAUGGCCGAAUCCAGAGAUGUUACAAGGUAGGGUUUUGAAAAUAGAAUCAUUUCAUCAAGUCAUUCAAGUUUCAUAAUUCAUAUAUGUUUAUAACUAUUUUCGAGAGUGUUAUUCAAUUUAUUUAUUUAUCAAAACAUAAUUUACAGCGGACCCUUAAAACCGUUAUAUUUUAGAAAUUUAGUUCAUUUUUGGGAAAACCUUUAUUUUCGCAAAACGGGAUUUUCCAUCAUGCAUCACAAUGAAAGAGUAAAUAAUAAACUCCAACAGUCCGGAUAAUCCUAAAAAUUACAAACUCACAAAUGAAGCCAGAAUUAUAAAUAAAUAAGAAAAACGUAAUUUACUAAGUAAAAUAGUUCUCAAUCAAGUGGUCACUGUUAAGCCUCCAUCACACCGAUCCGUCUAAGUCUGUCAAUUACCUGAACAAAACAGACAAAUAGAUGUGAGUUUUCGUAAACUCAGUGUGUAACCUAACAGAAAUAGACAUGCAAUACAUACAGUGAACUCAUACAUAGUCAGAUACAGAUUCAGGUUCGGACCUGAGCCCUUUACAGAUUCAGAUAACAGAAUAGAUAUGUAGAUUGGAAAUACAGAAUCCUACCUCCAUCCUCUACACACAAAAUCUGAUCAUCCCAUCACACCAUAUAAGGUUAAAAACACCCACUCAUCCCUACACACCAUAUCGUGCCAUUACAACACAUGUCAGAUAAUAUACAGCCAAGCUGCCAGAAUAUAGGCGAAAGUCGCCAUAUAGAUCACUUCCUCCAUGUAUACAAUCUCACUCCAAAUACAGAUACAGAAUACAGAUAUAGCAAAUAAACAUGCUUAUCAUGCUUGUGUAUAAAUAUCAGAUAUACUUAUAGCAGAAUAAUCAGACAUGCAUAACAGUGUCCUACUCAGAGCAUACUAUCAGAAUAACAGAUCACAUAAUCUAGGGUUUGGUUAGCCCUUACCGAACUUACGGUAGGCCUACAGUCGAUCGGAACGACCCGUGCGAUCCUAGGGAAAAUUUCAAAAUUUUUGGCCUAUAUGCCCGUGUGGGCCCACACGCUCAGAGCGGCCUUGCCCGUGAAACCCACAUGGCCUAGCCCAAAAAUCCACACGCCCGUGUGCCCUACACGAUUAAUCUUGGCCUAGCCCGUGUGGCCCACAUGGCCACACCCACAACAUCACACGGCCAUGUCUCGUGCAUGGCUGCACCUUUGUCAGACACAUGGUCGUGUCUUGCACAUGGCCAUCCACACGGCUGGCCACACGCCCAUGUGACGUCAACAGUAAGCAUUUUUGGCAUUCACUAAAACUCGAUUUUUCAUGUUUUGGGGACACACCUGGUACGGUUUGGAUGCAAAAACAAUCUCAAGCCCUUUGAAACCUAAAAAUAGUGUAAUGCCCCCGUACCCGAGACCAUCGCCGGAGUCGAGCACGAGGUGUUAACGGACUUAAUUCAUUAAUUAAACAGCUCAAACAAUUUAUUUUUAAAAUUUCCAGACAAGCUGUCUAACUGUAUCACAUUCGCUUAAAAAUUCAUAUCUCGAGUUCCAAAACUCGAAAUUAAGAUCCGUAAAUUUUUCCUGAAACUAGACUCAUAUAUCUAUCUACUAAUUUUUUUAUAGAAUUUUUGGUCAGGCCAAUAGUACAUUUUAUUAGUUAAAGUCUCCCCUGUUUCAGGGUUCGGCUACUCUGACCCCUGUGUAUUACAGAUCAGAUAUAUCCCUGUCUAUAGUUUCAAUGACUAUGCUAUUUAUUUAUCAUAAAACUAGACUCGAUAAGGAUUUCAUACAUGUAAGUUAAAACUCCUAAUUGUUCUUGUACAAUUUAUGGUGAAUUUUUAAAUUUAGAACAGGGGAUUCAGAAAUUACUCUGACCCUGUUUCAGAAAACGUAAAUACUUCAUAAAAUGCAACUCUUUUACAUAUUUUGUUUCUUCCACAUGAAAAUAAGUUCAUUUAGAUUCAAUUCAAUAUUUUAUUCAUCAUCUAAUUCUAUCUAUACUAUUUUUAGUGAUUUUUUAAACUCAUGUCACUGCUGCUGUGUGAUUCUAUUUUAUAGCCAAUUUCACCAUUUUAUGGAUUUCCAUAGAUUAGUUAGCACAUAAAGCAUACAUGUUAUCAAAUAUAAUCUCGAUUAGCCACUCCAAUAGUUAAUCAUUCUCAAACAUUUUCAUGCCAUCCAUGAGCUAUAUCAUAAGAUUAUAUACACAAAAGGAUUAUAAUGCUAUACAUGCCAUAUUCUCAAAAUAUGCAAGCCACCAUACCGAGAUGGUCCGUCGAUAGUGUGAGCGUGCCUUCGACCGUCCUGAUCUCCAAACCGGCUUGUCAAAACUACAAGGAAUGGAAGGGAAGGAGUAAGCAUAAAUGCUUAGUAAGUUUACAUGCAAAUAACAAAUAACUUAACAAAGCAAUUAUACCAAGCAACAUUAGCAUAAUAUCACCAAUACAUAUUUCACAUUUCUAUUCAUCAUUCAUCGUCUUACUACAUUAUUGUUGUCGUAUCAAGUCUCAACCCGAGGGUUAAGUACAUACCUGUCCAAAGUGCCCAUUCCACAACACUUACCAAUACGUCACUUGCAUCUUAAGUAUUCUUCCAUUUCACUAGAAUUUUACCCGUUGAACAUAUCGGAAUAUAACUCAGAUACAUGGAAAGUUUGCACAUAAGUGCCACAUAUGUAGCCAAGCUACCAUGUAACCCACCCAUAAGGCAACUCGGACUCAACUCAAUGAGCUCGGGCGUUCGCAUCCAUAAGUGAACUCGGACUCAACUCAACGAGCUCGGAUGCCUAGUUACAUCUCACGAACUCGGACUCAACUCAAAGAGUUCGGACGUUCGCAUCCAUAAGUUAACUCGGACUCAACUCAACGAGUUCGGAUGUUCGCAUCCAUAAGUGAACUCGGACUCAACUCAACGAGUUCGAAUACCUAAAUAUCCGAAUCUAUUCCUAAGGUUCAACGAGACUUUCCUCGUUCGUACUCCUUUACCAUUCUCCUUGGAAUACCAAUAACGAUACUUCGGUAGUCCUUCACAUUUUUCACAUAAUUCAUAAAAUUUUUGCAUGUUGUCCAACAAUAACCACAAAGCAUAGAAUUGCAUGAUAACAAUCAUAAUAUCGUAUAAAUAGCAUUAAAUGAUUUAAAAUAAUGAUUAUAUUACAAUAUUUACAUAUGACUUACCUUGUAUGCGAAAAUGGUCAUUUUUACCAUUUUGUCUACAACUUGGUAUUUUGCUGAUUUUAGCCCGAAUUUCGAUUUUCCUUGCUCUAUCAUUUCAAAUAUAGCCUAAUUAUGACUCAUAUUAUUCAAAUCAACCCAAAAUCAUAUUUUGGAAAAAUUAUAAUUUUACCCCUAAACUUUCACAUAUUUACACUUUGCCCCAAAUCUCGUAAAUUAAACUUCAUCCUAUUUUCUUAUGUUUUAUGAUAUGCUGAUCAUUUUUCCCUUCUACAGAAACAUCCAAUUCUCACUCUAACAUGUACUUAUGAACAUUAGGUAUUUUUACCGAUUAUGUCAUUUUAGUCGUUUUUACGUAAAAUCACUUAGCAAAAGUUGUUUAACACAAUCUCAAGCUUUAUAUUCUACCAUAAAACAUCAAAAUUCAUGCAUAUCAUUCAUGGGUAAAUUUUUAAAUAUAAACCCUAGCUCAAAAUAUUGGUAGAAAUAGGUAAACCGAGCUACGGGGAUUUUAAAAAUGUAAAGAACUUUAAAAACGGGCAUAGAAAUCACUUACAAUCAAGGCUUAAAAGUGUUGAAACCCUAGCUAUGGUGGAGAGAAAAAUUUGGCAGCAAAUUAUGGAGAAGAUGAUCAUUUUUGUGUUAUUUUUCCAUUUUAUUUCAUUUAAUAUUCAAAUGACCAAAAUGCCCUUCUUUAUUAAACUUUCAAAAAUUCCAUCCAUGUCCAAUUUUCCAUAAACAUAGAAAUUGGUCAAAUUUCUAUUUAAGACCUCCUAAUUAAUAUUUCAAAGCAAUUUCAUACUAGAAACUUCUAGAAUGCAAGUUUUGUAACUUAUUCAAUUUAGUCCCUAACUUCAAAUUAAGCACUUUAUGCGUAGAAUUUCGUUACGAAAUUUUCACACAAUCAUGCAAUCAUAUCAUAGACCUCAAAAUAAUCAUAAAAUAAUUAUUUUUAUCUCAGAAUUGUGGUCCCGAAACCACUAUUCCAAUUAGGCCUAAUUCGAGAUAUCACAAACAGAGUACCCAACACCGAUUUAAUAGAUUGAUUAAUGAAUGCAACAUAAGAAUCAACAUGGAACUGACUUACCACCAAUGAAAAACCACCCCUAACGCGUAUUAAACAGUUGAAGUGCAAUUCUCUGCUCCACAAUCUACUCCUAAACACGAAUUACCACUAAUCAAUCACUACAGAAUGUUAUCGCUAAAAUCCCAAAAGUUAACGACAACAGUGUUCUACUUACCAAACCAAAAGGAGAACCUGACAAUUCCAAUAGCACGAUCGAACAACGGAUUCACGAGUCGAAUCGAAAGAGAAAUAAAAUAGAGGGAUGCCAGAAAAAGAGAAGAAAAUGUCAAGAAGGGGAAAAACAAAAGAAAUUAGACGUUAGAUUUCUUUAGAGGAGAGAGAAAUUUUUAGCAAAAAGAAAUAAAAAUAAGAGAUAUCCCACAUAUCUCUUAUUUUACUUCCACUAACCCACUACUCAUAACUCUCUCAAAAUUUUAGCUCUACCGAAACUCUAUUAAACAACCAAGCAAAAAUUAACAUCCAUACUUGCAAAGAGAUUCAAACACAGAACCUCCAACACACUAACUCACCACUCGAACAAGCUGGCUUAUUCUAAAAUGAAUUAACAAAAAAUUCUAUGUAAGCCCACUCCACAAGGGUAAAGGCUUGAACCAAAAAUAACAAAAAUUAUCAAAAGUGAAACUUGAACCUAAGACCUCAAACACACACUCAAAACUCUUAGCCACUAAAGCAAAUAUAUAUUCAUGUCAAAUAUUUACAAAAAUAGAAAUAAAUUAUUUAAGGCAUUACAGUAAUUGGUGAUUCUUCUUAAUACGGUGUAGUGAUUUUUUCGAGCCAAUUUUAUAUAAAAAAAAUUUUUCCAACACAUACGCAUCUAAUAAAAAUUUUAAGUUAUUUAAAAGAAUUAAAAUUAUAUUUUUAUUUAAAUAUCAUAUUACUAGUUAUAUACUCAUCCUAAUCACCAAUUCUUAUUUAUAAGCUAAAAGUGUCCACGAUUAGGCUAAGGGCUUCUAUACAUUAAACAUAGUAACAUAUUAAAUUUUAUUGUAUAAAAAAUAUUAAAUUUUAAUCUAAUUUGAGCUAUACAAAAUAUCAAAUUAUUAAUUUGAUAUUUUAAUAAUAAAUAUAAAAUAAAUAAAAUUGAAUAAUUAUAUAAAAUAUUCAACAAAAUUUUUUAAAAAAAAACCCCGCGAUACGUGGGCGAAGUUGCUGUGGUGGAAAUGAAAGUGAUUUAAGACCACUAGAAAAACAAUAAAUGUGGGAUUCAUCCUUUUUCCUCGAUAACUACUACAAUCUCAAUGCUUAUAUAAAUGUAUCUUAAUUAUUCCAUUGCAUCAAAAACUCUCAAUCUCUCUCUCACACACAUAUUCACACUUUUAAUAAUAUUUAAAAUGGAGAAAUCUUCUCGUUUGGUGUCAUCUUUAGUCCUUCUUAUGUUGAUUCUCCUAGCAACAGGUUUCUCUUUAAUUUUUUUUUUCAAAUUCUUGUUAAUUUAUUAUUUAAUUCGCUACAAAUUCAAAAUUUUUCAUACAAAAUAUUUGUAUUUAACAUGCUCAGAUGACCAUAAACUUAAGCAUGUCAACUCUUAAAUUAUAUAUAUACAUAUAAAUUUGAUAUUCACUCUUCGACAAAAUAGUAACCGGUGACAAUUAGUAUGAAGUUACCACAUUAACUAUAUAAGUUGGCUAUGGCCCAUUUUUCUUUGAGUAGUUUUAUUAUUAAUUCUUUAUUUAAUAUAUGUGCAUAUAUUAAAGCUAACCAUCCCAUAUGCUUAAAUAUAUUUUUUAUUUAUUUGACAUUCACUCUUAUAAUACUUAUGCAUCAUUAUGAAAUAAAACAGAGGUGGGACCUAUGGCAGUGGAAGGUAGAACAUGCGAGACUAAAAGUAGUGAAUACAAGGGGAUAUGCUUAUUUGAUGCUAAUUGUGAUAGUAUUUGCAAAGUAGAGCCGGGUUUCGAUGGUGGGCAUUGCCAUGGCUUUUUUCGCAGAUGCUACUGCACUAAACCUUGUUAAACAAGCAAUCUAUUAGGAUUUCUUUAUACUUAAAAAAUUUGCUUUAUUUACUCUUGUUAUGUGUGUGCUUGAGAGUUGAGAGAAUAAGAUCAACAACAUAUUGGUGUACAUUGAAUUCUAUUACUAUUGAAUAUAUCUAUAAUUUUUAUGUUCCAUAUGAAUUAACUUCUAAAUUAAUUCUCUUUAAUUCUAAUCUUUCUAUUUCUUCUUGGACUAUUUGUUUUAAAAUGUAUAUAAGUAAGACUAUAUGCUUGAAUUUGAGACUUACUUAUGAACCAUGCCAAAUUUGAUGAAAUUUAUAUAAUAAUUUUUUUUAUAUUGAAUUUCAUGGUAUGUGAUAAGCUAGUUAAUUACGUAUCUUUAAAAGACAAAACAAGCCACUACCUUCUUUUCAAUCGGUAAAAUUACAAUAAUUCAUUAUUGCAUAUUGAUAGAGUAUCACUGAUAGAGUAGUUGUAUAUUGGUAGUUGUGGUUUGUUAUCCAAGUGGUUAGUCUGUUACUCAGAGCAGUUACUAAGCUCUCUUCUAUAAAUAACAAUCUUGAUGGCAGUGGUUAGACUACCUUCUUGAUGUACAAAAGCAAUUCAAGGUUAGUUCAUUCAUAAAGUGUUUAGUCUAGUUUACCUUCUAUCAUGGUAUCAAUCGCCUAAGAUCUUGGUGGUCGCUUCCGCUCCGUGUUCAUGGAUCCGUUGGUUGAUCAGCCUACUGGUGCUUAGCUUCCUACUUCUGCUUCGCACUCUCGCCUGGUCUAUAGCUUCCCUCGUCAUGAGAUUGCUAAGCUAGAUGAGUCUAAUUUCGUCCAGUGGCAGCAUCAAGUCCGACUUAUUGUUGAUGGCUACGGUCUUCAAGGGUUCUUGGAUGGCUCAGUCACUGAAUUGCCGAAGGUGGUGGCCACAAACGAUGGUUGUCUUGCUCCAAAUCCAGAUGUGGUUUGGUUCACGCAGCAGGAUAAGCUGCUUGCCUCGUGGCUUCUAUCCACGGUGAGCUCGUCUCUUCUCUCUUAUUUCAUUUCGACUAAAUCUGCUUGUGAUAUUUGGAGUGUAGCAAGUCACCUCUUCGUCGCAACCUCAGUUGAGAAAGUUUCUCAGAUCCGUCAUGAUUUACACGCGGUUCGGAAGGGCAGAUCUACCGUCAAAGAAUAUGCGUCCAAAAUCAACACUCUUUGUGCCUUGCUUGUGGCGUCGGGAUCGGCCGUUUCAGAGGCGGAGAAGGUGGAAGUUCUUCUCGGAGGUCUCACCUCUGAUUUUGAUUCGGUCUUUAUGGUGGUUUCGGCCUCGUCGGAGCCCUUGACCUUUUCGAAAUUGGUGGACAUUCUUAUGGCCUUCGAGCGUCGCCAGUCCCGGGUAGUGCGUGAUGUGCCGUUGGUUGCACAUAUGGCUCAGGUUCCUAGUGCAGUGCCUGAUUAUGAUUCGCGUGGUGCUCGUGGUGGUCGGAUGCCGACUGGGUCGCGUGGUGGCUGAGCUUUUCGUUCGUGGGUGCAGUGUCAGAUUUGCAAUCGGUUUGGGCAUGUUGCCCAGCGGUGCUAUUAUCGCUUUGAUCGCGACUAUGAUGGACUAUCGGAGGCCGGUGCUACUGGUGGUGGUAAACCCGUCCGUCUGCAUCCUCUUGCACAACGACUUGAAGGAGGGCAGUGGGUUUGGCAACAGAACCCGAUUGCUGGUGAUAAUGGUCAGCCCAAUUGGGCUUCAUACUCUAUUGGACCGACUAGUGGGUUUUAUGCGCCUAGGCCGUCUGUGUAUGACCAUGUUAGCAGACCACCCGUAGCAAAAAGGAUGCAUCCGGAUUUGGGCUUGCAUUAAGGGCGUGAUUUUUUUGAUUGACAUGGGCCGAAUGGUGCAGGCCGAAUAUUUAAGCCAGCUGGGCCUAGUGGUCCAUCUUCAGCUCCUCGGGCUCCCUAUGUGUCUCAGCAGUCCCCUGGGUCUCCGGUUGUGCACUGUGUUGGUGUUAAUGGCUCCGUUCCGAAUGCUCCUCCUGAGGCUCCGUGGCGUACAAAACCUCGUGCUCUAGUUUUUGAUGUUGAUAAUUCUCAGCGUAUUGGCUUGCCUCGAAUACCGGACUUUUAUGCUUCUGAUUUUUCCGAUCCGUCUCGAUACGAUUCUAGCUAUGGUAGUGUUGACCCGUAUGGUACUACGCCUACUGGAACUCCUUCGUGGUACUCGGAUUCUGGAGCGUCCAAUCAUGUUUGUUAGAGUACUGCAGACUUGAAUGCUUCAACACUGUAUUCAGGUACAUCUAACCUUUUAAUGGGUAAUGGGGCUCCUACCAAAAUUUUAUCUAUUGGGG
This 8553-nucleotide long non-coding RNA is filed under the name Gossypium barbadense (sea-island cotton). RNAcentral describes it as "long non-coding RNA (GBAR_LNC000078)". Lineage: Eukaryota; Viridiplantae; Streptophyta; Magnoliopsida; Malvales; Malvaceae. The record is from RNAcentral.